GUAGGUGGGGUAACGGCUCACCUAGGCGACGAUCCCUAGCUGGUCUGAGAGGAUGACCAGCCACACUGGAACUGAGACACGGUCCAGACUCCUACGGGAGGCAGCAGUGGGGAAUAUUGCACAAUGGGCGCAAGCCUGAUGCAGCCAUGCCGCGUGUAUGAAGAAGGCCUUCGGGUUGUAAAGUACUUUCAGCGGGGAGGAAGGGAGUAAAGUUAAUACCUUUGCUCAUUGACGUUACCCGCAGAAGAAGCACCGGCUAACUCCGUGCCAGCAGCCGCGGUAAUACGGAGGGUGCAAGCGUUAAUCGGAAUUACUGGGCGUAAAGCGCACGCAGGCGGUUUGUUAAGUCAGAUGUGAAAUCCCCGGGCUCAACCUGGGAACUGCAUCUGAUACUGGCAAGCUUGAGUCUCGUAGAGGGGGGUAGAAUUCCAGGUGUAGCGGUGAAAUGCGUAGAGAUCUGGAGGAAUACCGGUGGCGAAGGCGGCCCCCUGACAAGACUACG
RNAcentral lists this ribosomal RNA (502 nucleotides) under Escherichia sp. Its description in RNAcentral is "bacterial SSU rRNA". It matches the Rfam family "Bacterial small subunit ribosomal RNA", at positions 248 to 745 of the family's 1533-position model. Lineage: Bacteria; Pseudomonadati; Pseudomonadota; Gammaproteobacteria; Enterobacterales; Enterobacteriaceae. The record is from RNAcentral.